AGCAGCCGCGGCAAUUCCAGCUCCAAUAGCGUAUAUUAAAGUUGUUGCAGUUAAAAAGCUCGUAGUUGAAUUUCGAGAUCAAAUUGUUGGUCGUGCCUUGGUACGCACUGGCAUUAUUGGUUUCUCCCUUCUGACGAACCAUGAUGUCAUUAAUUUGGUGUCUUGGGGAAUCAGGACUGUUACUUUGAAAAAAUUAGAGUGUUUAAAGCAGGCUCACGCUUGAAUACAUUAGCAUGGAAUAAUGAAAUAGGACGUUUGAUUCUAUUUUGUUGGUUUCUAGGAUCGACGUAAUGAUUAAUAGGGAUAGUUGGGGGCAUUAGUAUUCAAUUGUCAGAGGUGAAAUUCUUGGAUUUAUUGAAGACUAACUACUGCGAAAGCAUUUGCCAAGGAUGUUUUCAUUAAUCAAGAACGAAAGUUAGGGGAUCGAAGACGAUCAGAUACCGUCGUAGUCUUAACCAUAAACUAUGCCGACUAGGGAUCGGAUGAUGUUAAUUUUUUUAAUGACUCAUUCGGCGCCUUA
RNAcentral lists this unclassified non-coding RNA (520 nucleotides) under uncultured Glomus. RNAcentral describes it as "SSU rRNA". It matches the Rfam family "Eukaryotic small subunit ribosomal RNA", at positions 569 to 1090 of the family's 1831-position model. The record is from RNAcentral. Lineage: Eukaryota; Fungi; Glomeromycota; Glomeromycetes; Glomerales; Glomeraceae.